AAUAGAUACCCUGGUAGUCUACGCCGUAAACGAUGCGCACUAGGUUCGAAGGUCUCUGACGAUCCUCGAGCCGAAACAAAAGCGUUAAGUGCGCCGCCUGGGGAGUACGGCCGCAAGGCUAAAACUCAAAGGAAUUGACGGGGGCUCACACGAGCGGUGGAGCAUGUGGAUCAAUUCGAAGCAACGCGAAGAACCUUACCUGGGUUUGACAUGUACGGAUGCCCUCGGGGAAACUCGAGUAAGCUGCCUUCGGGUGAAACGUAUACAGAUGCUGCAUGGCUGUCGUCAGCUCGUGCUGUGAAGUGUCGGGUUAAGUCCCUUAACGAGCGAAACCCUUAUCGCUAGUUGCCAGCGGGUCAUGCCGGGAACUCUAGUGAGACUGCCGGCGUCAAGCCGGAGGAAGGCGGGGACGACGUCAAGUCAUCAUGGCCUUUAUGCCCAGGGUGUCACACGUGCUACAAUGGGGUGGUACAGAGCGACGCAAGACCGCAAGGUGGAGCAAAUCGCAGAAAACACCCCUCAGUUCGGAUCG
RNAcentral lists this ribosomal RNA (532 nucleotides) under uncultured bacterium. RNAcentral describes it as "bacterial SSU rRNA". It matches the Rfam family "Bacterial small subunit ribosomal RNA", at positions 777 to 1300 of the family's 1533-position model. The record is from RNAcentral.